Molecule: ribosomal RNA, 492 nt
Filed under: uncultured bacterium
Lineage: Bacteria
Description: partial 16S ribosomal RNA
Rfam family: Bacterial small subunit ribosomal RNA
Source: RNAcentral
AGUGAACGCUGGCGGCAUGCCUAACACAUGCAAGUCGAGCGGCAGCACAGUAAGAUCUUUCUCUUACGGGUGGCGAGUGGCGGGCGGGUGACGCAUACAUCGGAUUCUUCUUUUUCGUGGGUGAUAACGUAGGGAAACAUACGCUAAUACCUCAUAUGUUGUACGGGUGAGAGCAGUAGUUCUACGCGCCUUUCGCGUUUGUAUUAGCCGAUGCCGGAUUAGCUAGUUGGCUGGGUAAAGUCCCACCAAGGCGACGAUCCGUAGCUGGUCUGAGAGGAUGAUCAGCCACACUGGAACUGAGACACGGUCCAGACUCCUACGGGAGGCAGCAGUAGGGAAUCUUGCGCAAUGGGCGAAAGCCUGAUGGAGCAAUACCGCGUGAGUGAAGAAGGUCUUCGGAUUGUAAAGCCCUUUUGUUAGGAAAGAACAAAAGCAGAUUUAACCAUGGCUGUCCUGACGGUACCCAAAGAAUAAGCCCCGGCUAACUUCGUG